Octopus sinensis (East Asian common octopus) is the source of this 172-nucleotide long non-coding RNA. RefSeq lists it as uncharacterized. The transcript has 3 exons. NCBI's taxonomy places the organism in Eukaryota, Metazoa, Mollusca, Cephalopoda, Octopoda, Octopodidae. The record is from RefSeq and is a predicted model, not a curated record.
UAUGUGUAAGCUGACAAGAAAUGAAACCAGUAUGCUUUACUGGAUGUGCAAUGUCGGUGUGCAUGUUCAUCAGAGUGUAAGCAGCUUGAGAGAAAAGGUGGGAAUAAGAGGCAUCAGAUGUGGUAUGUAAGAGAGCUGACUGCACUAGUAUGGUCAUGUGAUGCGUAUGGAC